Mya arenaria is the source of this 260-nucleotide long non-coding RNA. RefSeq lists it as uncharacterized. The record is from RefSeq and is a predicted model, not a curated record. The transcript has 2 exons. NCBI's taxonomy places the organism in Eukaryota, Metazoa, Mollusca, Bivalvia, Myida, Myidae.
GUUACUCCGGAGACACUUGCAGAACGAACACAGGGAUACUCUGGCGCAGAGAUUGCGUCUGUGUGCCAUGAGGCGGCCAUGUUCGCACUACAGGAGGAUAUCGGGAGCCAGUCAGUGGAGGAACGCCAUUUCCUGUCUGCACUGGAAACCGUCACUCCUAGGAUUGGCCAGGAUACGAUCAAGUUCUAUGAGGAAUACCAACAAAAAUCUGGAUUGCAUUCUGUAUGAUUGUCUUUUUAGAAUAAAAUAAUUCCAGAUUA